Molecule: microRNA precursor, 87 nt
Filed under: Petromyzon marinus (sea lamprey)
Lineage: Eukaryota; Metazoa; Chordata; Hyperoartia; Petromyzontiformes; Petromyzontidae
Description: microRNA pma-mir-1329 precursor
Source: miRBase by way of RNAcentral
UGCGUGGCGCAGCUACAGUGACCAGGUUAUGACGGAGUCAUAUCUCGAUUCGCCCAUCGUGGUCUGGUCACCCUGCCUGCCCACGUG